AAAAGAAAAGACAAAUCAGCAUGUCAGUUGAUGCAGUUGCGCCUGUGAACUGUGCAUGUGUGAUCUGCAACCUGCCUCAGUUGACAUGCUGAUUUGUCUUUUGUUU
Molecule: microRNA precursor, 106 nt
Filed under: Sorghum bicolor (sorghum)
Lineage: Eukaryota; Viridiplantae; Streptophyta; Magnoliopsida; Poales; Poaceae
Description: miR5570 stem-loop (sbi-MIR5570)
Source: miRBase by way of RNAcentral